AUACGGAGGGUGCAAGCGUUACUCGGAAUCACUGGGCGUAAAGCGCGCGCAGGCGGGCUGAUAAGUUGGAUGUGAAAGCCUACGGCUCAACCGUAGAACUGCAUCCAAAACUGUCAGUCUAGAGUCUGGGAGGGGAAGAUGGAAUUAGUUGUGUAGGGGUAAAAUCCGUAGAGAUAACUAGGAAUACCAAAAGCGAAGGCGAUCUUCUGGAACAGUCCUGACGCUGAGGCGCGAAAGCGUGGGGAGCAAACAGGAUUAGAAACCCUAGUAGUCC
RNAcentral lists this ribosomal RNA (274 nucleotides) under uncultured bacterium. RNAcentral's name for it is "partial 16S ribosomal RNA". It matches the Rfam family "Bacterial small subunit ribosomal RNA", at positions 523 to 796 of the family's 1533-position model. The record is from RNAcentral.